CAGCCAAGUCGUGAGGCGGAGCUAAUCCCUUAAAGCCAUUCUCAGUUCGGAUUGUAGGCUGAAACUCGCCUACAUGAAGCUGGAGUUACUAGUAAUCGCAGAUCAGAAUGCUGCGGUGAAUGCGUUCCCGGGUCUUGUACACACCGCCCGUCACACCACGGAAGUUGGGGGCGCCCGAAGCCACUUAGCUAACCCUUUUGAGAAGCGAGUGUCGAAGGUGAAAUCAAUAACUGGGGUGAAGUCGUAACAAGGUAAC
This 256-nucleotide ribosomal RNA is filed under the name uncultured bacterium. Its description in RNAcentral is "partial 16S ribosomal RNA". It matches the Rfam family "Bacterial small subunit ribosomal RNA", at positions 1247 to 1500 of the family's 1533-position model. The record is from RNAcentral.